Molecule: long non-coding RNA, 369 nt
Filed under: Brassica napus (rape)
Lineage: Eukaryota; Viridiplantae; Streptophyta; Magnoliopsida; Brassicales; Brassicaceae
Description: long non-coding RNA (BNAP_LNC026073)
Source: RNAcentral
AAGCUUGCGACUUUCCUGUCGUAUGUCGAUUGGAGCUUGCUCCUCUGUUCUUCAUAUUUCCAGAAGGAAGAUGAUUCUCGUGUGUCCUGCCUCUUCCUUAUAUUUGAAGCUGAAUCUUCUUGAGUGUUUGCUAUUUUGAGGGGACUGGAGUCGAGAGCUUAAACCUCCGCUUGUCUCAGGUAGUAUCAUCUAUGUGCCUCCCAUGCUCGCUUCUCUUGCUCGGUUUAGAACUUCCGGAAAGUCGAUUUGUCAUCUUCUGGAGUUCUUGCAGCGUCUGGAGUGGACUCCAUUGGUUGUUGAUGGCCGGACCGGGACCUAGUCAACCCCGCUUCGCCUGUCCACCUCUUGGGGUCGCCUUCGGGACAAACC